RNAcentral lists this ribosomal RNA (497 nucleotides) under uncultured bacterium. Its description in RNAcentral is "partial 16S ribosomal RNA". It matches the Rfam family "Bacterial small subunit ribosomal RNA", at positions 28 to 507 of the family's 1533-position model. The record is from RNAcentral.
GAUGAACGCUGGCGGCGUGCCUAAUACAUGCAAGUCGAGCGAACAGACGAGGAGCUUGCUCCUCUGACGUUAGCGGCGGACGGGUGAGUAACACGUGGAUAACCUACCUAUAAGACUGGGAUAACUUCGGGAAACCGGAGCUAAUACCGGAUAAUAUCUUGCACCGCAUGGUUCAAUAGUGAAAGACGGUUUUGCUGUCACUUAUAGAUGGAUCCGCGCCGCAUUAGCUAGUUGGUAAGGUAACGGCUUACCAAGGCAACGAUGCGUAGCCGACCUGAGAGGGUGAUCGGCCACACUGGAACUGAGACACGGUCCAGACUCCUACGGGAGGCAGCAGUAGGGAAUCUUCCGCAAAGGGCGAAAGCCUGACGGAGCAACGCCGCGUGAGUGAUGAAGGUCUUCGGAUCGUAAAACUCUGUUAUUAGGGAAGAACAAAUGUGUAAGUAACUAUGCACGUCUUGACGGUACCUAAUCAGAAAGCCACGGCUAACUACGUG